GUGUGGCCAAGCAGGAGGUCCUUGGUUCAUUGGGGGACUUAACUCUCCAAAAGGAUUAAGGUCGUUCUCUGGUGACUCCUUGGUAAUUUGCCAGAGAGUGUAGUUAUAAAAACACGCAUUUCUCUCACUCUUUCUCUGCUUCCUGGUUUGAAAUUUGAUACUUUUUCUAAUAUAUGCCUCACCAUUGUCAUUGGGCCCUCACCAGAACCUGUGCCAGGCUAUUUGGACUUUCAGCCUCCAAAACUGUGAGCUAAAUACACCUCUUUAUUUUAUAAGCUCAUCUCAGGUAUUUCUCUAAGGUAACAAAAAGCUGACUAAUAUAAUCACAAAGUACCAAGUUGAUAUGCCAGAUUGAAGUAAAUUGACCCCAAAAAAGGCCAAUUUAACUUUAUAAUCACCAUCCAUCUUAUUAGUCCUUUGAACUUUCUUUUUUUCUAUAAAUCUAAUAUCAAUAGCUAAUUCCUUAGGAUCAAUAUUAAUCCAGCGUUUUUCAAAGUUUACUAUGUAUAAAAAUAUUCUGGGGAAUAUUUUGUUCAAUUUGUAUUCUAAUUUAAUAGGUCUGGAUAGAGUCUUGACUUUCUACAAUUCUAGCAUGUUCCUAGGAGAUGCUGGUGCUACUUACUGGUUAGUGGGCCUCAAUUAUUGGCAAGGAACUUAUUGCUCAAUAUAUAAAAUAAGCACAUAUUCUGGGUAACAUCAAAGGAAGGGUAUCCAAAAGUAUAUGAGGUUGACGGGAGGUAUUAUUUUUGGAUAUUUC
RNAcentral lists this long non-coding RNA (757 nucleotides) under Marmota monax (woodchuck). Lineage: Eukaryota; Metazoa; Chordata; Mammalia; Rodentia; Sciuridae. The record is from RNAcentral.